UAGCAUAAUCAUUAGUUUUUUAAUUGAGAACUAGAAUGAAAGGUUAAAUAAAAAAUAAUCUUUAUUAAAAUUAAAUUUUUUGAAUUUGUUUUUUUAGUAAAAAAACUAAAAUUAAUAAAAAAGACGAUAAGACCCUAUAAAGCUUUAUAAUAUAAAAAUUUAAUUAUUUAUUAGAUUAUUUAAUUAAUUUUUUUUUUGUUAUUUAAUUGGGGUGAUUUAAAGAUUUAAAAAACUCUUUAUAAAAAUUAUUUCAUAAUUAAAUGUUUUUUGAUCCUUAAAAUUUUAAGAUUAAAAAAAUAAGUUACUUUAGGGAUAACAGCGUAAUUUUUUUGAAGAGUUCUAAUCGAUAAAAAAGAUUGCGACCUCGAUGUUGAAUUAAGAUAAAAAUUAGGUGUAGAAGUUUAAUUUUU
Molecule: ribosomal RNA, 410 nt
Filed under: Micropsectra notescens
Lineage: Eukaryota; Metazoa; Arthropoda; Insecta; Diptera; Chironomidae
Description: partial 16S ribosomal RNA
Source: RNAcentral